AAGGGGGACCUAAUUCAGGUAGGAGACGAAAAAAAAGUAGUCGCUACCAAGAAUCAAUCCCAAAAGGUCGGAGCGAGGCGAAAUUGGCUUUCAAACUAGGUUCUGGGUUCACACAAGACCUGAAUCAGGAACAAGGGCUAUUAGCUCAGGUGGUUAGAGCGCACCCCUGAUAAGGGUGAGGUCCCUGGUUCGAGUCCAGGAUGGCCCACCUGUACAGGUGGCAAAAAGAAAGAAAAGAAGCGAGGAAUCAGCACCUUAUCUUACUGACAUAGUAAGAGAGAAUGCUGGCUCUGAGUAAAGAGUCCAGAGGAACCUUGAAAACUGCAUAGAGCUAGGUGAAAAAGCCAAAAAAGAAGACCGCAA
Molecule: transfer RNA, 363 nt
Filed under: uncultured Microcystis sp.
Lineage: Bacteria; Bacillati; Cyanobacteriota; Cyanophyceae; Chroococcales; Microcystaceae
Description: partial 16S-23S ribosomal RNA intergenic spacer
Rfam family: tRNA (bases 135-208)
Source: RNAcentral